Molecule: ribosomal RNA, 492 nt
Filed under: uncultured bacterium
Lineage: Bacteria
Description: partial 16S ribosomal RNA
Rfam family: Bacterial small subunit ribosomal RNA
Source: RNAcentral
AAUGAACGCUGGCGGCAUGCCUAAUACAUGCAAGUCGAACGGAAGCACAGUAAGAGUUUGCUCUUACUGUUGGCGACUGGCGGACGGGUGACGAAUACAUCGGCAUCUUCUUUUUCUUGGGGGAUAACGGAGGACAACAUACACUAAUACCUCAUACGAUGUACCGGUGAAUGCAGAGGAGCUUCGCACCCUUCGUGUCUCAAAUAGCCGAUGCCGAACUAGCUAGUUGGCAGGGUAAAGGCCCACCAAGGCAAGGAUACGUUGCAGAUCUGAGAGGAUGAUCGGCCACACUGGAACUGAGACACGGUCCAGACUCCUACGGGAGGCAGCAGUGGGGAAUAUUAGGCAAUGGGCGAAAGCCUGACGCAGCCAGGCCGCGUGAGUGAAGAAGGUCUUCGGGUCGUAAAGCCCUUUUAUUGGGGAAGAAAAGAUGUAGAAUUAUACGAGGCUGUCUUGACGGUACCCAAUGAAUAAGCACCGGCUAACUACGUG